UUAAUGUAAAUUUACAAUUUAUAAAAAGUUGAAUCCUUAACAGCACUGAAUUCUAAUGACACAAAUAUUACUUGACACGGAACGCAAUUAUUUGAUGUAAAUCUACAUCACAUAUGAUGUAAAUAAAAAGAAGCAUAACAUAUGACGGAAUAUUCAGUGCGAAUUAAAUAUAAAACGUCUGAAAAUUUUACACGUCUUAUUUUUUACAUCACAAUAUAGAAUGGUGUAAUGAAACGUAAAAUUAAGUUUAAUGUAAAUUCAAUAAGCGAUUGAAAAAUACUCUAAAUUCAAAAUCAAUCUUGAAAUCAUCUGUGAUCAUCAAAAACAUCUAUCAUGUUUAGUAAAAAAAAAUGCUUUAAGCACAGACUUAAUAGUCUGUGCUUUAAGUGUUAAAAAUGAGUUUUUUCAGUGUUCGUUAUACCGUGAUUAAAGCAUUUAUUUCGUGAUUUAAGCAUCUGAUUCAUUUACACCGUACAAAGUUACACCGAAGGAGAAAAUACGCCGUCAAAAAUUCAAACCAACAACAAGUGUAAACAAAGUCGAUCGAAAUUCCAACCCGUUGGAAAUUCGGAAAUAUCGCGUUCAUGAAACCGUCGGCCCGAACACCGCCGCGGAGCCGGAGACAUCGACUAUUCAGUUUUUGCUAAAUAUGAAGUAAGUUAGAGUAUAAUGAUUACGAUUAUGAAAUUUAAUGCAUUGUAUUCUUUCAAUUCCGUUCCAGGAAUCAAAAUUUGCGGGUUUUCAUGCCAUCGACCCACUUUUUCCGGAGGAACCAAGAUCAUUUGGAAGACACUUCUGUACCGGUUGGAGUUCAUGUUAUUGAUUGAAUUUCGGUUCUGCGAUGAACAUGAAACGUUUGGGUGUGAGCAAAUCCGAAAAGCCGCGUGAUAAACCGAGGCUUCCUUGAAGGACCAAAGGUGAAAAUAUAAAAAUGUUGCAACAAAUUUAUUGUCAUUCGGGGUGGCAGGUUGUGUUCAGAUUCCAGUAAAGCCCAUGCGAUGCGAUUCGGUUCCUGUCGAGAAAAAAAACCCUGCAAUUUGCCAAAGCAACUUGACCUAAUCGGAAAUCAAAAUGUAUCUGCGGAGAUGUCGUUCAGUUCUGUCCGGUCUGUGUGGCGCAAGAGUCGCAUAUGCUAUUUUCCCACAUCUGUCGAAAACCGAAGUCGGCCCCUGGAAUCACCACGCCCGUCAAUCACCACAAAGCAACCAAGUGGGCAAUGUAUGUGCUAGUUUUUCAUUUACAUCGAACGCACCCAGCAAGAAACCAAAAUAAGGAACGUCUACAUCCGUUCAUCAGUCUUAUUCGGCUUGAUUCCAUUUUAAAUUGGAAUUUGGAAAAUUAUUAAUUAAUUGUUACGCGAGAACAUUGCCAUAAUGAAAAAUAAAUUAUUUUCACUUGAAAUAAUCUACCUUUUCUUAAUACAAACGAGGAAAGAA
Uranotaenia lowii is the source of this 1436-nucleotide long non-coding RNA. RefSeq lists it as uncharacterized. The transcript is spliced from 3 exons. Lineage: Eukaryota; Metazoa; Arthropoda; Insecta; Diptera; Culicidae. The record is from RefSeq and is a predicted model, not a curated record.